GUAAACUGUAAUUUUUUUUAUUUAUUUGUUUUCCACAUCUGUACAUUGGAAAUUUGGAUUCAUGACGUACAAUUGUCUGAUAAGCCCCCAUUUUCUUUUAUAGACAUUAAUCGUUGCUGGUUUUUUGUUUUUACAAUAAAGUAUGCCAUUAUAAUUAUAACAAUAAAUAGAACUCAAUAAAUAAAACAUAGAAUGUUCAAACCAAAGAAAACAUGUAAGACAGAUUAUUAUAUUAUAUUAUCAUUUCUAUGAACUUAUUUAAUUCUGUUUUUUUUUAUUCAACAAAUAUUAAAUAACUAAAUAAUUCUUAUAUGACGUACCGAAACUAAAAAUAGCUAGAUUGUGGUGUAUCCGGUGUACACAAUGAAUGAAGUGUUAAUAAACAAGGUUUUUUGGAGAAUUUGCGUUCUUUUGUUUUCGUCAUCAGAAAGUCACAUUUUCUAAUCUCUUCCUCCAUUGUUGUUUUAUUUGGUUGACGCCACUGAAUUGAACUCUUGCAUCCUUGACCUUCUAGAGCGUAGCGUGCACAUUCCCAACAGUAGGCCUUCACUGUUUUUAAGGACAGUGUAUUUACGAUGGUCAGGUUUGUUCAACCUUAAAACAAUUUUUUGACAACAUUAUCAAAAUAAAUAAAACCAGCUUUUUAAUAAGCAGAGGUGCCAAAUAUAUUAAAUCUAUGUACACAUUAAAUUUAUGAUAAAAUGUUCAGACAAAAAAAAAGCAAACUGAGACCAUAAUUGCUGUACAAGCCCUACAGUUUUAGAACCAUUGAAGUCAUCUAUACUCUGUUAGGCUCAACGUAAUCCAUCUAGAUCUAAGUUGACCUAUUCCUACUCACCUCAUUUUUUAAAUUCCAAUGUUAAAAUGCAAAUCACCCAACCGUUGAAAAGUUCCAACUGUAAAAUUUAAUCUACUUAUGGUUUUGUUGUUUUCGUG
Molecule: non-coding RNA, 936 nt
Organism: Biomphalaria pfeifferi
Lineage: Eukaryota; Metazoa; Mollusca; Gastropoda; Planorbidae
Source: the annotation of a GenBank genome assembly